Molecule: long non-coding RNA, 387 nt
Filed under: Carica papaya (papaya)
Lineage: Eukaryota; Viridiplantae; Streptophyta; Magnoliopsida; Brassicales; Caricaceae
Description: long non-coding RNA (CPAP_LNC010106)
Source: RNAcentral
UCCCAAAAACUUUAUGUCUUCCCGUUUCAGCUUCCACAUCUGUUUCUGCAAAUUUGUUUUCUACUUCUCUGCUUCGAUUCUCAAAGUCUAGAUCUGCUUUCUCUUCAAAUUUGUCCCUAUUCUAUGCUCGAAGCUUGUUGUCUUCUCCAUCAGUCGUGCAAUCUUCUCCAAGCUUUCUCUCUCUCGCUCACGUCUCUCUUUCUGUGCAAGUUUUCUCUUUUACAGAUCUGUUCAUUUAUAGGCAGAAAAAAAAUAAAAAAAACUAAAAUCCCGCACAUAUCUUCCUAUUUUUGCUUUAGAUUUCUAUUGUACGCCUCUUUCUCUUUUUUCUUCUCUUGUUCCAUUCUGCAAAUCUCUUUUUGUUUUUCAAAUUGGCGUCGUUUUGGG